Molecule: ribosomal RNA, 213 nt
Filed under: Enterococcus sp.
Lineage: Bacteria; Bacillati; Bacillota; Bacilli; Lactobacillales; Enterococcaceae
Description: partial 16S ribosomal RNA
Rfam family: Bacterial small subunit ribosomal RNA
Source: RNAcentral
GCGGUUUCUUAAGUCUGAUGUGAAAGCCCACGGCUCAACCGGGGAGGGUCAUUGGAAACUGGGAGACUUGAGUGCAGAAGAGGAGAGUGGAAUUCCAUGUGUAGCGGUGAAAUGCGUAGAUAUAUGGAGGAACACCAGUGGCGAAGGCGACUCUCUGGUCUGUAACUGACGCUGAGGCUCGAAAGCGUGGGGAGCAGAACAGGAUUAGAUACC